This is a long non-coding RNA of Bos grunniens (domestic yak), 1218 nucleotides long. NCBI's taxonomy places the organism in Eukaryota, Metazoa, Chordata, Mammalia, Artiodactyla, Bovidae. The record is from Ensembl.
CACCUCCUGCUAUCCUGAGGGUGGGGGACAGAGGGAAGGGUCUCUGAUGGGCGGGGAGAGGUACAGGCUGCCCAGCCCAGGACCGCCCCCCAGCCCAGGCAGAGCCCCUGGGCCUGAGAAACUGUCUCCCGUGGGGGGCGUUGGCCUCGCCCCUUUCUCUGCUUCCCACACCCAGGGCGGCUGCAGACGGCAGCAUCUCUGGGGACAGCAGCUACGACUGAGUCCACGGGCCGACACUGAGCUGCUUGGGCUGAGGCGGCGCGCUCAGCCCAGAGCCCCCGCCCGGAACAGGCUUCUGCAGGGCUUGAGGAGCCAUCCGAAGGUGGAUGAAAUGGGUCCUGAUUUGUCCCAUGUCUGGAGAAGAUAGUCUGUGGUGUGGCUUUUGAAGUAUGUAUAGGAGUUUGCCAGAUGAACAUGAACACAAAGGACAUUCCGGGAAAAUGAAAGCACAUGCAGAGAUGGAGACUGCAUAACAUGCAGGCACACGCAGGUGACUGACAAGUGGUUCCCUCUGGUGGCGUGGCGUGCAGAUGAGGCUGGCAUGGUUGGCAGAGAGCAGGGGUGGGCCACUCUAAGGAGCUGGAUACAUGGAACACUUGUGAAUCACCUUAAACCUGCCAGCUUCCAUUUCCUGCUCCCCCUCUGGUGCCCUGGAAAUAACAUCAGCUAGUAUUCAUCGCCUGGAAAAUCCCAUGGAUGGAGGAGCCUGGUGGGCUGCAGUCCAUGGGGUUGCUGAGGGUCGGACACGACUGAGCGACUUCACUUUCACUUUUCACUUUCCUGCACUGGAGAAGGAAUUGGCAACCCACUCCAAUGUUCUUGCCUGGAGAAUCUCAGGGACGGGGAAGCCUGGUGGGCUGCCAUCUAUGGGGUCACACAGAGUCAGACACGACUGAAGUGACUUAGCAGCAGCAGCAGCAGUGUUCAUCGAGUGCUGAUUCUGCACCAGGCAGCAUGAUGCUAAAGGAACUUUAGGCACUGUGUUGUUAAACAUUCACAGAGACCUUAAGAAGUGGGUCCUACUUCUAUGCCCAUUUUACAGAUAAGAAAACUGAGGCUCAGAGAAUAGGAACAAAGUACUAUGUAGCACUCAGUAAGCAUCAGGCACUGGUUCUUAGCACUUUAUAUAAAUUAUCUCUUUUAACAGUCACAACAGCCCUAUAAUUUCCCAUUUUUAUGGACAUGGAAAUCAAGGCCCGUCUUUGGGGGCUGCUGCCU